This is a long non-coding RNA of Scatophagus argus, 1469 nucleotides long. RefSeq lists it as uncharacterized. Lineage: Eukaryota; Metazoa; Chordata; Actinopteri; Scatophagidae. The record is from RefSeq and is a predicted model, not a curated record. The transcript is spliced from 5 exons.
GCUCUAAUUUCCACAGGGCCCGCAAAGUCUCUCCAUCCCUCUAAACACAAUCUCCUCUCUUCCUCUCUCACAAAACCACAGACACUUGCAGAAUUGCCACAACUAUAGGCAAGCACGCACACACUUUUAAAACAUUGUGCACUCAUGAAAGCAUGCAUAAAAUCUCUCUUUGCUUUCAAUUCAAAACUUCAUCUAACUUUAUCUAAAUGCACUCUCUUUGGUUUUCCUCUUACUUUGACACAUUUAAACCACCGCACACACAGGCUGUCAAAUCACACUGACACUUUCUUAUUCCUACAUACACACUCACAGCUACCAGACUGGGGGUUGGUUUGGAAGAAGCUCCAUCCAUUUGUGCAUGACAGCAGAGGACUGAAAAUUUCAAGAGGCAGAAAAGUAUAAUAUUAUAACUCAAAAGGCGAGCACUGAAGCAGCCACUCCUCGAAGGCAUUACCAGGAAUAUUGACGAGCAAGCAGCCUGACUGCAUGGGAUCAGGAGGUGGCAGAAGGAAGAGGGAGGAAAACAUGCGACAACUCACUUGCAUCAUUGCUACUAGUGACAUGCAACAAUACUUCAGGUGCGUGGCGGUGAGAAGAAAAACAGGCAUGCAGACAGCUCUGACAAGCAAUUACACCGCAGCUUGUUUGGGAGGCAGGUCGGGAUGAGCUCUGCUGUGUUGGAGGGGCAGACAAUUGAAUACUCCGGAGACGGAGAAGAAAAUGACCGGAGGGAGAACACUGCUGACUAAGGAGAGCCCCCCGCAAGGAAAUCCUGCAUCAGUGCCGGCCAGAUUACCGAUCAGAGCGUGACCGAUGUCAGAAAGCGCAGAGCGGAGUAAUGCGCCCUAAUGGUGAGACAAGCCGGGGACUCUUUAAUGGUAAUGAAUACACAAUGUGAGCCCAAGGCAGGAUGAGAGGGAGGGUGGGGAGUCGUGACCAGACUGGUGAGGAGGAGAGGGAUAACCACAGUGUGUGGGAAAGGAGAGGAAGGUGUAGAGUCGACUGUGAGUGUUCAGGUGGGUUGACAAAAUAACAUCAACACCUGACAGAGUGAAUCAAACAUUCUUCUGACUGCAACUCACCUCAAGAUCCAGGAAAUGACUCUUCUUCUUUUUUCUUUUUUGUUCUUUUUUUUGGGAAGAUUUCAUUCUUGGCUGAUGAAAAUAUUUGACAAAUCAUUUGUGCAUCCACAUUUUUAAAACAAACAUGUUCCAGAGCUGUGUCUGUGGAGGUUCUCAGUUAUCCAGGUCAUAUUUACUCAAAAGAGUUAAAGCGAGGCGUCUGGACUUGUGAAGAUAGGCUUGAAGACGUUUCGCUGCUCAUCCAAGCAGCUUCAUCAGUUCUGUUCCAGAGCUGCUAAGGCAUUGACUAUAAUGUGGCACUGAUUUGUCAGUAUGUUAAUUUUACCAACACUAAUAGCAACUAGACUUAAUAAUUGCUCUCGGACAUGCCAAUGCGUUGCACUUUUC